Molecule: long non-coding RNA, 1188 nt
Filed under: Nicotiana benthamiana
Lineage: Eukaryota; Viridiplantae; Streptophyta; Magnoliopsida; Solanales; Solanaceae
Description: long non-coding RNA (NBEN_LNC007458)
Source: RNAcentral
AAGUUAUAGUCUUCUUUAAAAGGUGCAGUAGUAGAGAUAAAAUAUGGCCAAGGCUCUUAUGAAGUCCCCAUUCUUGAUUGCCUUGUUGCUAAUCACUAUAGGUUUGUUUCUCUUUCGUUUACCUUUCUCUUUCGUUUUCCUUUCUCUUUCGUUUUUGUUUCCCUGAGAAAAUCUCUGAAUGCAUAUAAAACAUAUAUCCAUCCGUUUCAUUUUAUAUGACGUAAUUAGGAGUACAAAAUUAUUCAAAGGGGAAUCUUGGAGCAAUGGUAAAGUUAUCGAUCUCCGAGUGACCUAUAAGUCGUGGAUUCGAGCAGUGAAAGCAGCUGCAAAUAUUUGCAUUAGGAUAGGAUGUCUAUAUCACUAUCUUUAUGGUGUAGCCUUUUCACGAUCAUUGCAUGAAUGCGAAAUUCUUUGUGCACCGAGUUAUUCUUUAGUCCGGUGUAUAAGAGUCAAACUUCAUUCUGACUUAGUACUUUUUACUUUCAGAAAAUUAGAAAAGUUAUUUAAUUUCAAUAAUAAGAAUAUACGCAUCAGUCCCAAAUAAAUUAGGGUUGACUAUGGUCCUCAUAAAGUCAGACAACAUUCUGUUAUACAACUAUAACAGUUGGUAUUUUUUAUGAAUCUUCAUUAGCCAAGAGGAGCCUUGGAGCAACGGUAAAUUUAUCUUAGUGCGAUCUAUAGGUCACAGGUUUAAGCGGUGGAAACAAUCAUUUAUAUUUGCAUUAUAUUAGGUUGUCUAUAUCACUUUUCUUGGAGUGCGACCCUUUCCCGAUUAUUUGUGAAUCUUCACUGAGCAUAUAACACUCUGUAUUUUUUUUAUGAAUUUUCACUAACCAUAUUCCUCAUUUAAAAUGUGAAAUAACGUUUUGAAAAAAAAGAAAAUUCAAUAUGCAGUUGCAGAUACUCCAUCCUCUAAGGUGGCUGCUAUACACCAUUGUCAUUAUGUCGAGGAUUGCGAUGAUUUAUGUGAAGACCAAGCCAUUUGUGUUUUCCAUAUAUGUGUAUGCGUUCCUAAGACGAGAAAGAUUGGGGAAGUUGCAUUUGGUCAUGGCCUGCCUCCAAAUUCAUAUCUUCCAAGUGUUUGAUAAAUUGUCCUAAUGGGAAGAAUUGUCAUUUCCUGUUAUAUACAUGUUUUAAUUGGCAAAAUUAUGUCGUUGCUAUAUAAAUUGAUGUAUUAAUUAGUUGUCG